AAUGAUCAACAAUCAAACAAAAUCCUUUUAGAAAUUGUCGAAGCAACAUCGAAAUGCUUGGCUGACGGCUAUAGGAAAAACUACAUCUGAUCCGAAAUCAUGGGAAAAGUUACAAGUUUGCGAUAACCAUUUCAUCAGUGGAAAAAUGGUCGCAUUGCCAAAAUGGCCGUUACAUACACAAUAUGGACUGGGUGCCCAUAAUGAAUUUACGCUAUCCAAGAGACAGUAAGCCGAAAAUUCUGAGAUGCUCAGUAGCAGAUUGUGUGGUGUCUAAUCAAGGCGGUCAAUGCAGUUUCUAUCGUAUUUCAAAGGAUAUGACCAACGGAAAACGGAAUCAAAUUUCAGAAUUGAAACUAUCUGCUUGGAUAACAGCCUUAGGACUACGCGACGUGGUUCCAGCCACAUCAAAAAAUAUUUACGUCUGUCACGCUCAUUACAUGAUUGAUAUGAGAACAAAACAAAGAAAAACUUUGAUAGAGGAAGCGACUAAUCUGGACACUGGUGGAUCCGUGCAUUCUUAUGAAACUUU
This is a long non-coding RNA of Bradysia coprophila, 529 nucleotides long. The record is from RefSeq and is a predicted model, not a curated record. Lineage: Eukaryota; Metazoa; Arthropoda; Insecta; Diptera; Sciaridae.